GCCCGGUUACAUUCCGAACCCGGAAGCUAAGCCUUACAGCGCCGAUGGUACUGCAGGGGGGACCCUGUGGGAGAGUAGGACGCCGCCGAAC
Streptomyces regalis is the source of this 91-nucleotide ribosomal RNA. Lineage: Bacteria; Bacillati; Actinomycetota; Actinomycetes; Kitasatosporales; Streptomycetaceae. The record is from Rfam.